AGCGGCGCGACGAGUGACGGCAGCGGAGCCAAGGGGCAACCGCAAAGGCGGGGUUGCGAUCUCUCUUCCCUGCGGUUAGGGUUUUCUACCAUCAGUCAGCAUUCCUGGUCAACCUCAGAGGACUAGAGGCUUGCCAGCAUGGCUCCCAUCUGCAAGGAGGGUCAUAAGAAGGACUCGAUGAACUACAGGCCUGUCAGCCAAGAACUCAGUGCUGGCAAAGUUUAUGGAACAGAUCGUCUUGAGUGAGAUCAUGAGGCAUUUAUGAAACAAUCAGGUGUACAAUCAGUGAGCGUACAGAGGUGUAAAAUCAAUUGGCAUACAGAUUUUUAGGCUAAGUAGGAUUAUUGUAAUAGAAAGAUAAUAAGUGGAAAAUGCUUACUGAUGUUGUAGGCUCACAGUGUUCUCCAUGAGGAGUGAUCUCCAGGAAGAGAUCCUUCCUCAGUGGCAGUCAGCUCUUAAAUGGGGUCUAGGAGAGAUGGAGCAAGGCUCCAGCCCUUCCAGUAGCACAGGUGGAUUACUGGGAGUGAUGGUGAAUGGAGUUAAAUCCGGUGACUGAUCAUGAGUGGUGAUCCCCAGGGGUCAGUACUGGGUCCUAUCCUGUUAAGUAUCUUUAUUGAUGAAGAGAUUGAAUGCACCCUUAGUAAAUAUGCAGAUGACACCAAGUUGGGAGGAAUUAUCCAACUUCCUGAGGUUAGGAAGGCCAUACAGAGGGAUCUGGACCGGCUGAAUCAUUGGGUGGAGGCCGAUGGGUGAAGUUCAAUAAGACCAAGUGCCAGGUCCUGCACUUUGGCUGCAACAAUCCUGCACAGUGCUACAGGCUUUAGGCAGAGUGGCUGGAUGACUGUGCAGAGGAAAAAGAGCAUCAACCAGUACCCUCAGGUCAGCUGAACGUGAGCCAGCAAUGUGCCUGGUUAACUGAAGAAGGCCACUGGCUUCCUGGCUUGUAUCAGAAACAGCAGAGCCAGCAGGAAUAGGGAGAUGAUUGGCCUCUUGUACUCAGCUCUCAUGAGGCUGCAUCUUGAGUACUGUGUUCUUUACUACAAAGUCUUUAUUACAAGGAAGACAUCAAGGUCUGAAGUGUGUUCAGAGAAGAGCAAUAAGGCUGGUGAAGGGACUGGAGCACAAGCCUUGUGAGGGGUGGCUGAGGAAACUAGGAUUGUUCAGUUUGCAGAAGAGAAAUCUCAGGGGACCUUAUUGUUCUCUACAGCUCCUUGAGAGGAGGUUGUGGCACGGUGGGGGUUGGUUCUCCUGGGUAACUAGCAAUAGAACUAGAGGAAAUGGCCUCGAGUUGUGCUAGCAGGUGCCCAGGCACAUGGUUGAGUCACUGUCCCUGGAGGUGUUAAAGAAAUGUGUGGAUGUGAUAGUAAGGAGCAGGAUUUAAUGGAUAGCGUUGGUUGUAGGUGAUGAUUGGACUAGAUGAUGUUAGAGAUCUUUUCCAACCCUAAUGUUUCUAUGAUAAUUAAGUGAUUAAUUAAUUCUGUGAUGCAGUGUGAGACUUUAUCUGCCACUCAUGACAGGAAGAAGUAUUUUGUAGGGUACAUACUCAGUGAACUGAAGAACAAGCUUGUUCUUCAUCUUCCUCUGAUCUUCCUCUGAUUUUCCUGUUUUCCCAGUCCCAGCUUUAAGUUCUUCCCUUAUGUACAGACUCAGCAAUUUUGUGGAUGCAGAAUUAUGCAGUGAUGUCAGAAAAUGACAUGUGCAUGUGAGCCCUGAAAUGCAAUAUGAACUUAUUAAGUGAGGCUCUCGGCUAAAUUUCUAACUGCCCUCAGUCUGUAGAACUGCAGCUGUUUCCUGCAGUGAUAAUGUCAUCUUGUUCUUGUACGUGUACAGGCCCACCACUCUAAAAUGGGAGUCAUUACUUUCAAAGCAGAUCUUGAACACUGGAACUCAGAGAGACAAGGCCCAGGGUCUCAAAAUCUGAAGUUAGCACUGUGUAGAAAAGGUGUUUGGGCUAGCUGACCUCCGCACAUUGCUUACGACCAAAAUCUUUUUAUGAAGUAAUUCCUCUGCAGUCAUUCUCACCUGUUCCUUACACCAAAUUCAUUCUGGCUGUGUGUGACAGGACUCAGUUUUUUACUGCAGGAUGACUCAGAAAUGUCCUUGGUUUCAAAUCUGAAAUUUGUUUUUCCCCAGACUUUUCAUCCCUGUGGCUCCAUCUCAUAAGUUACUCACAUGCAUCAAGUAGCUGGAUUCUUGUCUGCUUUCCUGCAUUUGGGGUGCUCUGGAAUACAAGCUCUGGAGUACAAGAAAUUAACAAUUAUUAAAAGAAGUGAUUUCAACUUAUAGGCCAGUUCUUCACUAAUAUAAAUCUGUCACUUAUUUCACCGUACAGUAGUCUGAGAUCAAAACAGCAAAUGUUUCUUUAAGGUAGUGAAGUAACAGCUGUAUUUCUGCUUCCUUACUGGGAGUUAGUGGCUUAGGUAAUUGGGUUUGUUGCUAUUGGAGCAUCAUCAGCGUGCAUUCAUUCUCUGUGCAGCCAGCAUAUAAAAUUUGCAAGAGCUGCACACAGCAUAUACUCAAUGUACAUCACUUAGCAGCCUACAAAUAGACAUCUAGCUACUGGACUAAAAAAAGCACUUGGUAAUACAGGCAAAUGAGUUAAAAACAAGUUUUCCUUUCUUAUAUAAAUGAUUGUAUCUGUAAGAGACUGAAUGGUGAACAGGCCACCUUUCCAGCCAGAAGAGGGGAGGAUCAUAGAAUCAUAGAAUCACCAAGGUUGGAAAAGACCUUCAAGAUCAUCCAGUCCAACCGUUCACCUAUUCCCAAUAGCUCCCACUAAACCAUGUCCCUCAAUACAGCAUCCAGCCUUUAAUGAAGUACUGAAGUAAUGAAGGAUGAAGUACUGUUGCAACAUUUUCUUGUGUUUUUAAUACUUUCCUUCAAGGUCUAGGUGGCAUUUUGCAGCAGUUAUUAAUUGUUAUGGACACAACCCAGUUCUAAUCACCUGAAGGACUGGACACUUUGUUCCUUUGACUGAGGCCUUAUACUGGUGGUGAAUAUGUUUAAAAAAAUCCUGUACUGAAAGUAAGUUUGGACUUUUGAGCAGAGUUUAAUGGUUGCAGAAUCCUCCCUGCCUGAAUUGGAAACUAGGAAAUCUUCAGUUUGCUUGAGGAGCAGUGUGCAGUUGUGGAUGUUGGAGCCUCAGCUAAUAAUUCAACAGAGAUUUCCUGGGAUUAAGCUGUCAGUGAGGGUAUGGUCGUCAUUUAGACCACUGACACCUGAGUAGGGGCGUGUUGGCUGACUGUCAGCAACUGCAAGGAGUGCAGAGGAUGAGCUUCCUCCUUACCAAUGAAUGUCAAAUCCCUAAACAUUUUCACACAGUUCAUGUGUAUUUGCCAGACAGCAAAUGCUGUGAGCAGCAAAGCAUAGAUUUGAGCUCAGUUUCUUUCCUUCCUCAAAUAAUGCAUGUGUAACAAGAUAGGAUUGUCUAUUUCCGUUGCAUGUCUUUCCAUUUGCAUUUCAAUCUCACAUUAUUAUCGAUCAAUUUUACUAUUCUAAUUUGAAAUGAGAACUAGUUCUUCUUAAGAGAAGAACUCUUCCCACUAUUAUCUUAGCUGGAUUUUGCCUAGAUUCUUACAAAAUCUUCUCUUGUCUUCAUUCUUCCAUCCACUCUCGUGUUUGUCUUGUAUGUGCACCCAUGUCAGGUUAAACAGACAUCUUUUUGAGCACAACCUUUAGCUGGCUUGUUGCAGAGGAAGGAAUGCUGUGUGACUAACUCAUUGUUUUAUAAUGUUUGUAAUAAUGUAUAAGCAGCAUUUGGUCCCACAGGUCUAAAUAAAUGUUUAAUUUUUGUAAUGAAAGUUUAUAGGAGGA
This is a long non-coding RNA of Centrocercus urophasianus (Greater sage-grouse), 3813 nucleotides long. RefSeq lists it as uncharacterized. Lineage: Eukaryota; Metazoa; Chordata; Aves; Galliformes; Phasianidae. The transcript is spliced from 2 exons. The record is from RefSeq and is a predicted model, not a curated record.